Molecule: ribosomal RNA, 253 nt
Filed under: uncultured bacterium
Lineage: Bacteria
Description: partial 16S ribosomal RNA
Rfam family: Bacterial small subunit ribosomal RNA
Source: RNAcentral
UACGUAGGGUGCGAGCGUUGUCCGGAAUUAUUGGGCGUAAAGAGCUUGUAGGCGGUUUGUCGCGUCUGCUGUGAAAACCCGAGGCUCAACCUCGGGCCUGCAGUGGGUACGGGCAGACUAGAGUUCGGUAGGGGAGACUGGAAUUCCUGGUGUAGCGGUGAAAUGCGCAGAUAUCAGGAGGAACACCGGUGGCGAAGGCGGGUCUCUGGGCCGAUACUGACGCUGAGGAGCGAAAGCGUGGGGAGCAAACAGG